UGUGAAGAAGGCCUUCGGGUUGUAAAGCACUUUUGUCCGGAAAGAAAACUUCGUCCCUAAUAUGGAUGGAGGAUGACGGUACCGGAAGAAUAAGCACCGGCUAACUACGUGCCAGCAGCCGCGGUAAUACGUAGGGUGCGAGCGUUAAUCGGAAUUACUGGGCGUAAAGCGUGCGCAGGCGGUCUGUUAAGACCGAUGUGAAAUCCCCGGGCUUAACCUGGGAACUGCAUUGGUGACUGGCAGGCUUUGAGUGUGGCAGAGGGAGGUAGAAUUCCACGUGUAGCAGUGAAAUGCGUAGAGAUGUGGAGGAAUACCGAUGGCGAAGGCAGCCUCCUGGGCCAACACUGACGCUCAUGCACGAAAGCGUGGGGAGCAAACAGGAUUAGAUACCCUGGUAGUCCACGCCCUAAACGAUGUCAACUAGUUGUUGGGGAUUCAUUUCCUUAGUAACGUAGCUAACGCGUGAAGUUGACCGCCUGGGGAGUACGGUCGCAAGAUUAAAACUCAAAGGAAUUGACGGGGACCCGCACAAGCGGUGGAUGAUGUGGAUUAAUUCGAUGCAACGCGAAAAACCUUACCUACCCUUGACAUGGUCGGAAUCC
This 602-nucleotide ribosomal RNA is filed under the name Burkholderia sp. N2b25_1. RNAcentral's name for it is "bacterial SSU rRNA". It matches the Rfam family "Bacterial small subunit ribosomal RNA", at positions 404 to 998 of the family's 1533-position model. Lineage: Bacteria; Pseudomonadati; Pseudomonadota; Betaproteobacteria; Burkholderiales; Burkholderiaceae. The record is from RNAcentral.